RNAcentral lists this transfer RNA (17 nucleotides) under Alsophylax pipiens. RNAcentral's name for it is "partial tRNA-Cys". The record is from RNAcentral. Lineage: Eukaryota; Metazoa; Chordata; Lepidosauria; Squamata; Gekkonidae.
CCCGGGCUUCUCCCGUU